This 497-nucleotide ribosomal RNA is filed under the name uncultured bacterium. RNAcentral's name for it is "partial 16S ribosomal RNA". It matches the Rfam family "Bacterial small subunit ribosomal RNA", at positions 28 to 507 of the family's 1533-position model. The record is from RNAcentral.
GAUGAACGCUGGCGGCGUGCCUAAUACAUGCAAGUCGAGCGAACAGACGAGGAGCUUGCUCCUCUGACGUUAGCGACGGACGAGUGAGUAACACGUGGAUAACCUACCUAUAAGACUGGGAUAACUUCGGGAAACCGGAGCUCAUACCAGAUAAUAUAUUUGACCGCAUGGUUCAGUAGUGAAAGACGGGUUUGCUGUCGCUUCUCGGUGGAUCCGCGCCGCAUUAGCUAGUUGGUAAGGUAACGGCUUACCAAGGCGGCGAUGCGUGGCCGACCUGGGCGGGGGUAGGGCCCCACUGGAACUGAGAGACGGUCCAGAGUCCGACGGGAGGCAGAAGUAGGGAAGCUUCGGCAAUGGGCGGAAGCCUGCCGGAGCAACGGCGGGCGGGUGAUGAAGGUCUUCGGAUCGUAAGACUCUGUUAUUAGGGAAGAACAAAUGUGUAAGUAACUAUGCACGUCUUGACGGUACCUAAUCAGAAAGCCACGGCUAACUACGUG